This 353-nucleotide unclassified non-coding RNA is filed under the name soil metagenome. RNAcentral's name for it is "partial contains 5.8S ribosomal RNA, internal transcribed spacer 2, and large subunit ribosomal RNA". The stretch from base 1 to 120 matches the Rfam family "5.8S ribosomal RNA", at positions 35 to 154 of the family's 154-position model. The record is from RNAcentral.
GAUGAAGAACGCAGCGAAAUGCGAUAAGUAAUGUGAAUUGCAGAAUUCAGUGAAUCAUCGAAUCUUUGAACGCACAUUGCGCCCGCCAGUAUUCUGGCGGGCAUGCCUGUUCGAGCGUCAUUACAACCCUCAGGCCUCCGGGCCUGGCGUUGGGGAUCGGCGGAGCCCCCCGUGGGCACACGCCGUCCCCCAAAUACAGUGGCGGUCCCGCCGCAGCCACCUCUGCGUAGUAGUUUUCUCCUCGCAAGGGCAGCUCGACGACGACCACGCCGUAAAACCCCCAACUUCUGAAAGGUUGACCUCGAAUCAGGUAGGAAUACCCGCUGAACUUAAGCAUAUCAAUAAGCGGAGGA